Molecule: ribosomal RNA, 700 nt
Filed under: Marasmius cf. ferrugineus BRNM 724480
Lineage: Eukaryota; Fungi; Basidiomycota; Agaricomycetes; Agaricales; Marasmiaceae
Description: eukaryotic LSU rRNA
Rfam family: 5.8S ribosomal RNA (bases 280-433)
Source: RNAcentral
UCUUGGUCAUUUAGAGGAAGUAAAAGUCGUAACAAGGUUUCCGUAGGUGAACCUGCGGAAGGAUCAUUAUUGAAACAUUGUAAAGGGGAGUUGAGCUGGUCCUUCACGGACAAGUGCUCGCUUUUCUUUCAAUCUUCAUCCACCUGUGCACUUUUUGUAGAGAGACUGAGAAAAGGACUUACGUCCUGAGUAUCGGGCUUUCUAUGUCUUUAUAAACUCUUAACGUAUGUCGUUGAAUGUCUUUUACAAGGUACUUAACUGGACCUUUAAAAACUAUACAACUUUCAGCAACGGAUCUCUUGGCUCUCGCAUCGAUGAAGAACGCAGCGAAAUGCGAUAAGUAAUGUGAAUUGCAGAAUUCAGUGAAUCAUCGAAUCUUUGAACGCACCUUGCGCCUCUUGGUAUUCCGAGAGGCAUGCCUGUUUGAGCGUCAUUAAAUUCUCAACCUCAAAAAGCUUUAUGUUUUCUGAGGCUUGGAUGUGGAGGUUUUGCCGGCUCGUUAAGAGUCAGCUCCUCUGAAAUGCAUUAGUGGAAACUGUUUGUAAUCCGCAUUGGUGUGAUAAUUAUCAGCGCUAUUGUGGCUACAAGCUCAUGCAGUGUUCGUUUGGGAAGUGCAUUAAAGGGGUUUUUUUGGUUUUACUUGACCUGCACGAGUAUAGUAUCUGCUUCAAACCGUCCUAAGUUACUGGACAAUACUUGA